RNAcentral lists this long non-coding RNA (3046 nucleotides) under Gossypium raimondii (Peruvian cotton). Its description in RNAcentral is "long non-coding RNA (GRAI_LNC005943)". The record is from RNAcentral. Lineage: Eukaryota; Viridiplantae; Streptophyta; Magnoliopsida; Malvales; Malvaceae.
ACUCCUGAAAUGUUGUUGUGGGCAAGGUCCAAGUUUUGAAGAUAUUGAAGAUCACAAAUUUUAUGAGGAAUAUGACCAUCAAAGUUAUUUGAUCGAAGGCUUAGAACCACAAGGUUUGAGAGCUUAUCACCAAUCUAUGCUGGUACACUUCCACUGAAAUGAUUUUCACUAAGAUCAAGAAUAAUUAAACCACCAGAAUUUCGCAACGUGGAGGGUAAUUCUCCAAACAUGCUAUUAUUUCGAAGGUUUAACAUAAAAAAAAUUCUAAUCCCAAACUAGGUGGGAUAAAGAAAGAAAAGCUAAAGGAGAAAAAAGAGAAGGAAAAGAAAAUGGAAAACACGGAAUUUGAGUAAGAAAAGCAAAAUUUUGAUAACGAAUACUACUUCAACUUUUAUUGAAAAUAAAUCAAUUUAUCAUGGAGUCAGAUUUUUUUUUUUGGGUGGCCAAAAUUAAACUAUAUGUUUUUAUGAUAAUAAAAAUACAAUUCACUAUUUUAAUAGCCUAUAUCUUUAUAAUUUUUAGAGAAUUAAAUUAAAUUUUUAUUAUUUUUAAGAGGGCCAAAAUAUAAUUUUACUAUUAUCAAUGCCGAGCCCCUCACUGAUAUGGAUGAAAAUGUAAAGAAGUGUUUACUUGUGAUUGGAGAACUGAAGUUUCUUUUUAAUACUUAAAAUAUUACUUUUUAAAACUUCAACUUAAAUAUGUUUUUCUCAAUCUCAAAAAUUAUUUUUCUUGCCGUAAUCAGGAUAUUCAUCAUUGAUAUCACUGAUUAAUUUUCUAACCGUGGAUAUUUUCUGAAAAGUUAAAUGAGUGACAAUAAAAUGUGUUCCAUUUUCGUGAGCGGGAUUAAAAAUUAUUUUUUUCGGGUAUCCAUCAUCGGUAAUAGUGAUUAAUCUUCUAACUGUGGAUGCUUUCCGAAAAGAUAAAUGAUUGACAAUAAAAUGUAUUCCAUUUUCGUGAAUGGAGAUUAAUAAUUAUUUUUUAAUUAUUUGAAAAGGUUGUUUUAGUUAGGGGAGAGGAUUAUUAUUAUCGGAUUUAAAAACUAAAUCAUAAAGUGUCAAUAUAGAACUUCAAUCUAUAUUACUUGAUACUAUUUUGGUACCACGUACUGAUCGAAACAUUCCGUUCUGAUAGUAAAUUGAAGAUAUAAAAAUGCAAUUUCACCGUUUUAAUAGCUUAUAUCUUUAUAAUUGUUAAAGGAUUAAAUCAAAAUUUUAUCAUUUUCUAAGGAGACCAAAGUGCAAUUUUACUUUUACUAAUUUAAAAUUUUAAAAAUUUUAAAAGAUAUAAAUAGAAAAUUUUCCAGGUGCCUGCCCCUAGCUAAUGUAGCCCUCGUUAAAAACUCGAUUCACUUUGCUCCAAACUCAAUUUUUAAAAACAAAAAACCACCCUAUAUGGCUGGGGUGGUUGGAAUCCCGAUAACUUGAAAGGAUUUUUGUCGGGUAUGUAUUUCACAUGAGUAUAUUAAAACUUUUAUAAAUUGUUUCAUAUAUUUUUGAAAGAUUCUAUGCUCAUUGUCAUGUUUGAAUGUGUUGAAUCCAAAUAUAUACUUUAAAAUAAAAAAUCGAAAUAAUUCUAACCAGUAUACCAAUUUGAUCCAUAAAAGCUAACAAAGAAGAGAAAACAAUCAAGUACAUUAAAUUUUACAAACUUGAAAUUAACUUGGAGAUUUAAAUUCCAACAUUUACGACUUCUUUUAUUUUCCAGACCAAAUGCAAAAACGACGACGUUUUGAGGUUGUUACCUGUCUUACUGAGAAGGGUGAGUCCAAGGAUGAAGAGCAACAGCUGAACUCUUUUUUUGUUGAGAUCCAUUGGCAACAGUUAGAAAAUGACAGAAAAAAAUUGGCUAAUCCUAUUUACUACUAUUUUUGUUACUCCUAAUUUGAAGGAUCAAGGAGGAAGAAGACCAGAUCUAUGGCUGCCACGUCUACUCAUUUAUUAAGCUAAGCAGCUGAUGGAAUUUAUCAAACAACUUUUUUUGCUGAAAUUAUUUUCAUUGUAAAUUAAAGAAAUACAGCAAAACAUAUUCAUACAUAAUCAAAACACACUUUGAUCCAAUCUCCAGUAAAUUAUACCAACUUUAGACCAACAUGUUUACACAUGUUUUUUUCCCAUCAAACUACAUACCCAUAGUAGCCCAAGACACAUACAGCUUUCGUCCAACAUGGUCCAACUUUCGAUAGUAUGCAUGCCUCCAAGACCUGAUGAAAAACAAGGGAGCCACUACACCCCAAAAUCCCAUUACAAAGCCGAGAACUAUGCUGACAUAAAGCCAAUUCACUUUACUUCCUUCCCUGCUACUUCCAUUAUUUGCGACGUCAAUUGGAAUACCUUUUGAGGUGCAGUUCUUAGUGAGAGGAGGUCCGCAAAGAUGAUUGCCCACGUAAGACAAGUUUUCAAAGCUUUGAAGCUGAGUGCUUGUUGGGAUUUGUCCUGUCAAGUUGUUGUAGGACACAUUGAAGUGAUUCAAGAAAUUCAAAUUGGAGAAACUUGGAGGGAUUUCACCAUUUAGUCGAUUCAUGGACAAAUCAAGAGAUUCCAUUAACUCCAUCUUGCCAAUGCUGUUUGGUAUAUUUCCUGUUAGGAGAUUCCCUGAAAAAUUUAAAGACAGUAGUCCAACGAGACUACCAAUUUCUUUGGGGAUCUCUCCGGUGAGACUGUUAGCUGAAAGGUCCAUGCUAGUAACAAGUCCUAAUGUUCUACCAUAUUCAUCCUCUCGUCCUUUCAACACCAAUAAUGCGUUCAAAAAAAAUGAGGCUGCAUAUACAGACUCCGCAAGAACAAAAUUAUUCCUUUUGUUUGCUGUGGCCAUUGCACUUAAAUUAUUAAAACAUUUUGGAAUAACUCCAGAAAUGUUGUUGUGGGCAAGGUCCAAGUUUUGAAGAAACUGAAGAUCACAAAUUUUAUGAGGAAUACGUCCAUCAAAGUUAUUUGAUCGAAGGCUUAGAAUCACAAGGUUUGAGAGCUUAUCACCAAUCCAUGCUGGUACACUUCCACUGAAAUGAUUUUCACUAAGAUCAAACAUAAUCAAAUUUGGAGAAUUUUGC